This 367-nucleotide ribosomal RNA is filed under the name uncultured organism. RNAcentral's name for it is "bacterial LSU rRNA". It matches the Rfam family "Bacterial large subunit ribosomal RNA", at positions 2099 to 2465 of the family's 2925-position model. The record is from RNAcentral.
CUUUACUGCAGCUUUGCAGUGGCAUUAGGAGAGGGCUGUGUAGGAUAGGUGGGAGGCUUUGAAGCAUGGGCGCUAGCCUGUGUGGCGCCAACCUUGAAAUACCACCCUGACCUCUUCUGAUGUCUAACCGCGGUCGGUCAUCCCGAUCCGGGACCCUGCAUGGUGGGCAGUUUGACUGGGGCGGUCGCCUCCCAAACAGUAACGGAGGCGCGCGAUGGUGGGCUCAAGCCGGUCGGACAUCGGCUGUUGAGUGCAAUGGCAUAAGCCCGCCUGACUGCGAGAGUGACAGCUCGAGCAGAGACGAAAGUCGGCCAUAGUGAUCCGGUGGUCCCGCGUGGAAGGGCCAUCGCUCAACGGAUAAAAGUUA